RNAcentral lists this ribosomal RNA (636 nucleotides) under uncultured bacterium. RNAcentral's name for it is "bacterial SSU rRNA". It matches the Rfam family "Bacterial small subunit ribosomal RNA", at positions 400 to 1049 of the family's 1533-position model. The record is from RNAcentral.
CGUGAGGGAUGAAGGUCUUCGGAUUGUAAACCUCUUUCAGUAGGGAAGAAGCGAAAGUGACGGUACCUAAAGAAGAAGCACCGGCUAACUAUGUGCCAGCAGCCGUCGGUAAUACAUAGGGUGCAAGCGUUGUCCGGAAUUAUUGGGCGUAAAGAGCUCGUAGGUCGUUUGUCGCGUCGAUUGUGAAAAUCUGAGGCUCAUCCUCAGACCUGCAGUCGAUACGGGCAAACUAGAGUGUGGUAGGGGAGACCGGAAUUCCUGGUGUAGCGGUGGAAUGCGCAGAUAUCAGGAGGAACACCAAUGGCGAAGGCAGGUCUCUGGGCCAUAACUGACACUGAGGAGCGAAAGUGCGGGGAGCGAACAGGAUUAGAUACCCUGGUAGUCCGCACCGUAAACGGUGGGCACUAGUUGUGGGAACCUUCCACGGUUUCCGCGACGCAGCAAACGCAUUAAGUGCCCCGCCUGGGGAGUACGAUCGCAAGAUUAAAACUCAAAGGAAUUGACGGGGCCCCGCACAAGCAGCGGAGCAUGCGGCUUAAUUCGACGCAACGCGAAGAAGCUUACCAAGGCUUGACAUAUAGCGAAAAGUGGCAGAGAUGUCAUGUCCGCAAGGGCGCUAUACAGGUGGUGCAUGGA